GGUGGCGGCGGCGGCGGCGACCGACGCAUUCCUACGGUUUUUUUUCAUCGGAGCGGGCGGCGGAAGGCGGAGGGCGCAUCGGAGAGGGGCCACUUCCUCGCGGCGGCAGCGGCAACGGCGGGCUUGUUCCUCGCGGCGGCAGCGGCGGGCUUGUCCCUUGCGGCGGUGGUGGCGGCGCGGCUGCGUGGGGGAAGGGAAGCAGCUGCGGCAAUGGCCGCGUGGGCGAAGAGAAGCGGCUUCGGUAGCAGAGGGGCGCAAGGUCUGCUGCCGCAACAGACGCCUAGGGUUCCACCUUCUCCAACCCUAACCAGCUCUGCCGCAGCCAACGAGAUCUCGCUCUCACCAUCAACACCAGCAAAGGCUUCAACCCGUCAUCCACCGAAGAGAGAAAACCUAUUGGAGAAAACAAUGAACUACUUUCCAGAGAGAUUGGACUUCUUACACGGUACCAUGGCUCUGUGAUCAUUUUGAAAUAGAAGAAUUUAAGGUAUAGUAGUCUUGGAGUGGGUUUCAGCAGUUCUGCAUUUAUCUUUAUCACUCAACCCUGCCUUAUUUGUUCACAUAAAAUUACCAUAUGCAUAAACGGUCCACAAUUGGAAAGGCUAACCGCUCAAACCUACCUUAUGUUCACAUGAAGGGAACAAAGUCAUUUGUAGCUGUUCAACAUGAAUUAGUAAGUCACUAUUACUUAUCUUUAUCUUGUGUCACAAUUGUUGUGAAAGCAGAAUAUAUAAACUUGUAGCUAUCUUAUAUUCAUGUCUUUUGCCUUCAAAUCUUGUAUUAUCAGAAUUGUGUCAAUAUCAGACUGUACAAGGAGUGUUACUCUAGUGAUAAGAAGGGAUGGGCAUCAGAAGAUGCCAGGAAUAAGCAUGUAAGUGCCAUGUAACAAAUUAAUUUCUGUUGAGAAAGAUUAAGCAAUGAGAAUACUAGACACAAAUGAGAACUAGAGAGCAAGAAAUGGGAGAAAUGACCACUGAAACAGAGAAAAAUAAUAGCUAGAGCUUAGAGAGGAAUGAUCAUGCUAUUUGUGCCAACAAUGGGUCGGUAAUAAGAGAGAAAGAAGUUGGCAGCUAUGCAGCAAAAGGCUUUAACCGUGCUUGAAUCUGUUUCACCAUGUGCAUGACAUAGGUACAAACUUUGAAGUGCCCUAUUUUCUCAUGACUUGUAGUAGAUGGUGCACUAUUAUUAGGACUGUAGUAAUUUAAGACUGAGAAAGUCAAUUUCUGUAAGAUCCUCAUCAAGCAUUGUCAUCAUUGGGAAUCAAAUAAUUUUUGCUUGACUAUAUGGUUCUUGUACUUUUAAGUAGUAGGGAUGGCAGAACUGGACUUUAAUGGCUGCGGUUGUUCAAAUAAUUCAAAGUUGUUAGUGUUGCAUUAUACUAACAAUAAAUUUGGGUACUUUUAAAUACAUUAUUAUGUUGCUGCAUUUAAGAAUGUAAAUGCCUUUCAUUUCUUGUAUUAUUAAUGCAGGAAGAAAUGUUGCAGAAGCGAAAUGAACAUAUAAAGGAGGGCGAAGUACCUUUAACCGAGCAACAGAUUUGCGAGCAGGUGCUUGGUAAGGCAUAUGGUUACAUCAGAGGUCGGGGUCAUGGACGGCACUAGUGCGAGACGGCUCGGUUUCCCAACUGAUAGAUCUGUUUUCAGGUCAGGCUACAGAUCUAUUCUUCUGAUGGUUCUCUGGUCUCAGAUGGAGGGUCGAGGGGGUGAAGCAAUUUUGGAGAGGUGUAGAGGACAUGUGGGGAGUGAUCGGAGCAGUGCUAAACUUGAUUCUUUGCAGAUGCCAAAAGUUCAGUUUACCCAAAUGCCAAAAGAGUAGUUCCUGCUUUGUAAAUUCGGCUUGCGAAUACUAGAUGCAAAAUACUACUCCCUCUGUCCCAUAUUUUAAGAACGUUUUUUAUACUAGUGUAGUGUCAAAAACGUUCUUAUAUUAUGGGACGGAGGGAGUAGAAUACUUCCUAGUUGGUGAUUGGAUUAUAUGUUUGGAGAAGUACUAAAGUGGUACUUUACAAAUACUAGAAUAGUCUUUCCUAGUUGUGAAACAAAAUUUGGCUUGCAAAUGAUCCAAAUGUAAUGUUUGGAUCAUAAGUUUACAAAUGCUGAUUCUGAUCUUCUUCCUGUAGAAUGUCUCAAAUUCUAAGAUUUCUAGCAACUAUAAA
Molecule: long non-coding RNA, 2155 nt
Organism: Triticum aestivum (bread wheat)
Lineage: Eukaryota; Viridiplantae; Streptophyta; Magnoliopsida; Poales; Poaceae
Exons: 4
Source: RefSeq, a predicted model, not a curated record